AACGCGUAAUCCGAAAAGCGAUAAAGAGUAGGAA
This is a non-coding RNA of Chryseobacterium gambrini, 34 nucleotides long. The record is from Rfam. Lineage: Bacteria; Pseudomonadati; Bacteroidota; Flavobacteriia; Flavobacteriales; Weeksellaceae.